Molecule: unclassified non-coding RNA, 330 nt
Filed under: soil metagenome
Description: partial contains 5.8S ribosomal RNA, internal transcribed spacer 2, and large subunit ribosomal RNA
Rfam family: 5.8S ribosomal RNA (bases 1-120)
Source: RNAcentral
GAUGAAUAACGUAGCGAAAUGCGAUAAGUAAUGUGAAUUGCAGAAUUCAGUGAAUCAUCGAAUCUUUGAACGCACAUUGCGCCCCUUGGUAUUCCGAGGGGCAUGCCUGUUCGAGCGUCAUUUCAACCCUCAAGCACAGCUUGGUCUUGGGCUUCGCCGCUAACCCGGCGGGUCUUAAAAUCAGUGGCGGUGCCGUCGGGCCCUGAGCGCAGUAAUCUCUCUCGCUAUAGGGUCCCGGCGGAUGCUGGCCAGUAACCCCCAAUUUUCUAUGGUUGACCUCGGAUCAGGUAGGGAUACCCGCUGAACUUAAGCAUAUCAAUAAGCGGAGGA